Molecule: long non-coding RNA, 297 nt
Organism: Mauremys mutica (yellowpond turtle)
Lineage: Eukaryota; Metazoa; Chordata; Testudines; Geoemydidae
Exons: 3
Source: RefSeq, a predicted model, not a curated record
AACGGGGCCACGGGGUUGCGGGACUCCGUCCGGGAGAGCGGGACUGCGGGACUUGCAUAGGUCCUACAUAGAUACCAAGGGUCAUUGUUACAGCCGUUGAAUCAAAGGGAAUAAUGCUGGGGCUGGCUCUGAGGAGCUCAGCAACAUCAGGAGACAUGCUGGCCACUGGCCAAGAAGCAGCUGAGAUGAAGAAGAAAUAUCUUCCCAUCAAUUCAGCAAAGGAAAGAGGCUAUAAAGUAAAGAAGAAACAACCCAAAGAUCCUAGCAGCCCUCCCACUCCUUGGAACCAGGAGACUG